Molecule: ribosomal RNA, 251 nt
Filed under: uncultured prokaryote
Description: partial 16S rRNA
Rfam family: Bacterial small subunit ribosomal RNA
Source: RNAcentral
ACAUAGGGUGCAAGCGCUAAUCGGAAUUACUGGGCGUAAAGGGUGCGUAGGUGGCAUAGUAAGUUAGAUGUGAAAUCCUCGAGCUUAACCUAAGAAUUGCGAUUAAUACUGCUUAGCUUGAGUACUGCAGAGGAUAGUGGAAUUUCCAGUGUAGCGGUGAAAUGCGUAAAUAUCGGGAGGAACACCAGUUGCGAAGGCGACUAUCUGGAUAGACACUGACACUGAGGCGCGAAAGCGUGGGUAGCAAAAAG